This 29-nucleotide transfer RNA is filed under the name Cyprinodon variegatus (sheepshead minnow). RNAcentral's name for it is "partial tRNA-Thr". The record is from RNAcentral. Lineage: Eukaryota; Metazoa; Chordata; Actinopteri; Cyprinodontiformes; Cyprinodontidae.
UGCAUUAGUAGCUCAGCGCUAGAGCGCCG